Molecule: ribosomal RNA, 1089 nt
Filed under: Escherichia coli
Lineage: Bacteria; Pseudomonadati; Pseudomonadota; Gammaproteobacteria; Enterobacterales; Enterobacteriaceae
Description: partial 23S ribosomal RNA
Rfam family: Bacterial large subunit ribosomal RNA
Source: RNAcentral
CCAGACAGCCAGGAUGUUGGCUUAGAAGCAGCCAUCAUUUAAAGAAAGCGUAAUAGCUCACUGGUCGAGUCGGCCUGCGCGGAAGAUGUAACGGGGCUAAACCAUGCACCGAAGCUGCGGCAGCGACGCUAUGCGUUGUUGGGUAGGGGAGCGUUCUGUAAGCCUGUGAAGGUGUGCUGUGAGGCAUGCUGGAGGUAUCAGAAGUGCGAAUGCUGACAUAAGUAACGAUAAAGCGGGUGAAAAGCCCGCUCGCCGGAAGACCAAGGGUUCCUGUCCAACGUUAAUCGGGGCAGGGUGAGUCGACCCCUAAGGCGAGGCCGAAAGGCGUAGUCGAUGGGAAACAGGUUAAUAUUCCUGUACUUGGUGUUACUGCGAAGGGGGGACGGAGAAGGCUAUGUUGGCCGGGCGACGGUUGUCCCGGUUUAAGCGUGUAGGCUGGUUUUCCAGGCAAAUCCGGAAAAUCAAGGCUGAGGCGUGAUGACGAGGCACUACGGUGCUGAAGCAACAAAUGCCCUGCUUCCAGGAAAAGCCUCUAAGCAUCAGGUAACAUCAAAUCGUACCCCAAACCGACACAGGUGGUCAGGUAGAGAAUACCAAGGCGCUUGAGAGAACUCGGGUGAAGGAACUAGGCAAAAUGGUGCCGUAACUUCGGGAGAAGGCACGCUGAUAUGUAGGUGAAGUCCCUCGCGGAUGGAGCUGAAAUCAGUCGAAGAUACCAGCUGGCUGCAACUGUUUAUUAAAAACACAGCACUGUGCAAACACGAAAGUGGACGUAUACGGUGUGACGCCUGCCCGGUGCCGGAAGGUUAAUUGAUGGGGUUAGCCGCAAGGCGAAGCUCUUGAUCGAAGCCCCGGUAAACGGCGGCCGUAACUAUAACGGUCCUAAGGUAGCGAAAUUCCUUGUCGGGUAAGUUCCGACCUGCACGAAUGGCGUAAUGAUGGCCAGGCUGUCUCCACCCGAGACUCAGUGAAAUUGAACUCGCUGUGAAGAUGCAGUGUACCCGCGGCAAGACGGAAAGACCCCGUGAACCUUUACUAUAGCUUGACACUGAACAUUGAGCCUUGAUGUGUAGGAUAGGUGGGAGGCUU